RNAcentral lists this ribosomal RNA (896 nucleotides) under uncultured Massilia sp. RNAcentral describes it as "bacterial SSU rRNA". It matches the Rfam family "Bacterial small subunit ribosomal RNA", at positions 32 to 920 of the family's 1533-position model. The record is from RNAcentral. Lineage: Bacteria; Pseudomonadati; Pseudomonadota; Betaproteobacteria; Burkholderiales; Oxalobacteraceae.
AACGCUGGCGGCAGGCUUAACACAUGCAAGUCGAGCGGGCGAGGUUGCUUCGGUAACUGAGCUAGCGGCGGACGGGUGAGUAAAGCUUAGGAAUCUGCCUAUUAGUGGGGGACAACAUUUCGAAAGGGAUGCUAAUACCGCAUACGUCCUACGGGAGAAAGCAGGGGAUCACUUGUGACCUUGCGCUAAUAGAUGAGCCUAAGUCGGAUUAGCUAGUUGGUGGGGUAAAGGCCUACCAAGGCGACGAUCUGUAGCGGGUCUGAGAGGAUGAUCCGCCACACUGGGACUGAGACACGGCCCAGACUCCUACGGGAGGCAGCAGUGGGGAAUAUUGGACAAUGGGGGGAACCCUGAUCCAGCCAUGCCGCGUGUGUGAAGAAGGCCUUUUGGUUGUAAAGCACUUUAAGUGGGGAGGAGGCUCUCUUGGUUAAUACCUGAGAAGAGUGGACGUUACCCACAGAAUAAGCACCGGCUAACUCUGUGCCAGCAGCCGCGGUAAUACAGAGGGUGCGAGCGUUAAUCGGAUUUACUGGGCGUAAAGCGCGCGUAGGUGGUUAAUUAAGUCAAAUGUGGAAUCCCCGAGCUUAACUUGGGAAUUGCAUUCGAUACUGGUUAGCUAGAGUAUGGGAGAGGAUGGUAGAAUUCCAGGUGUAGCGGUGAAAUGCGUAGAGAUCUGGAGGAAUACCGAUGGCGAAGGCAGCCAUCUGGCCUAAUACUGACACUGAGGUGCGAAAGCAUGGGGAGCAAACAGGAUUAGAUACCCUGGUAGUCCAUGCCGUAAACGAUGUCUACUAGCCGUUGGGGGAUUUGAUCCUUUAGUGGCGCAGCUAACGCGAUAAGUAGACCGCCUGGGGAGUACGGUCGCAAGACUAAAACUCAAAUGAAUUGACGGAAGG